This 192-nucleotide ribosomal RNA is filed under the name Triticum aestivum (bread wheat). RNAcentral describes it as "partial small subunit ribosomal RNA". The record is from RNAcentral. Lineage: Eukaryota; Viridiplantae; Streptophyta; Magnoliopsida; Poales; Poaceae.
AUGGUGGCGGCGGGGCCUCGGUUGCCCUGCUUCUGCGUGGGGAACCCCGGAUCUGGAGCGGCGGCUCCAUUGGCAAGGCACGGGCGGCUAGCAGCCGUGCGGGCGGUGGAUCGGGUGUCCCGGCUGCGCGGGCGGCGGGAUCCGUGGUCGUUGGCGGCCGGCGACGGCUUCUGCAGCGGUCGGUGCGCGUGA